RNAcentral lists this ribosomal RNA (253 nucleotides) under uncultured bacterium. RNAcentral's name for it is "partial 16S ribosomal RNA". It matches the Rfam family "Bacterial small subunit ribosomal RNA", at positions 524 to 776 of the family's 1533-position model. The record is from RNAcentral.
UACGUAGGUGGCAAGCGUUAUCCGGAAUUAUUGGGCGUAAAGCGCGCGCAGGCGGUUUCUUAAGUCUGAUGUGAAAGCCCACGGCUCAACCGUGGAGGGUCAUUGGAAACUGGGAAACUUGAGUGCAGAAGAGAAAAGCGGAAUUCCACGUGUAGCGGUGAAAUGCGUAGAGAUGUGGAGGAACACCAGUGGCGAAGGCGGCACUCUGGGCCGGAACUGACGCUGAGGAGCGAAAGCGUGGGGAGCGAACAGG